RNAcentral lists this ribosomal RNA (496 nucleotides) under uncultured bacterium. Its description in RNAcentral is "bacterial SSU rRNA". It matches the Rfam family "Bacterial small subunit ribosomal RNA", at positions 28 to 515 of the family's 1533-position model. The record is from RNAcentral.
GACGAACGCUGGCGGCGUGGAUUAGGCAUGCAAGUCGAACGGUAGGAUACCUUCGGGUAUCUGAGAGUGGCGAACGGGUGAGUAACACGUAGGUGAUCUACCCUCAAGAUUGGGACAACCCAGGGAAACUUGGGCUAAUACCGGAUGAAAGCAGCAGUGAUGUUGUUUGAAAGGUGGCGUAAGCUGCCGUUUGGGGAUGAGCCUGCGCUCUAUUAGUUAGUUGGCGGGGUAAAGGCCCACCAAGGCGAUGAUAGAUAGGCGGCCUUAACGGGUGGUCGCCCACACUGGGAUUGAGAUACGGCCCAGACUCCUACGGGAGGCAGCAGUCGAGAAUAGUCUACAAUGGCCGAAAGGCUGAUAGUGCGACGCCGCGUGAACGAAGAAGCCCUUCGGGUGUAAAGUUCUUUUAUAUGUGAGCAGUGCUUUCUUAUGUGAACAGCAUGGGGAGAGAGAUAUUAGCAUAUGAAUAAGCAACGGCUAACUCCGUGCCAGCACG